Molecule: non-coding RNA, 23 nt
Filed under: Mus musculus (house mouse)
Lineage: Eukaryota; Metazoa; Chordata; Mammalia; Rodentia; Muridae
Source: RNAcentral
UGAGGCAUCUCCAGGUUUCUAGC